Molecule: non-coding RNA, 74 nt
Organism: Mesocricetus auratus (golden hamster)
Lineage: Eukaryota; Metazoa; Chordata; Mammalia; Rodentia; Cricetidae
Source: Rfam
GGGGAUGCAGCUCAGUGGUAGAGCCCUCAUAUGGUGUUUGAGAGGCUCUGGGUUCAAUCCCCAAUGUAUCUCCA